UGCAGUCGAGCGGUAAGGCCUUUCGGGGUACACGAGCGGCGAACGGGUGAGUAACACGUGGGUGAUCUGCCCUGCACUCUGGGAUAAGCUUGGGAAACUGGGUCUAAUACCGGAUAUGACCGCAUGCCGCAUGGUGUGUGGUGGAAAGAUUUAUCGGUGCAGGAUGGGCCCGCGGCCUAUCAGCUUGUUGGUGGGGUAAUGGCCUACCAAGGCGACGACGGGUAGCCGACCUGAGAGGGUGACCGGCCACACUGGGACUGAGACACGGCCCAGACUCCUACGGGAGGCAGCAGUGGGGAAUAUUGCACAAUGGGCGGAAGCCUGAUGCAGCGACGCCGCGUGAGGGAUGAAGGCCUUCGGGUUGUAAACCUCUUUCAGCAGGGACGAAGCGUGAGUGACGGUACCUGCAGAAGAAGCACCGGCUAACUACGUGCCAGCAGCCGCGGUAAUACGUAGGGUGCGAGCGUUGUCCGGAAUUACUGGGCGUAAAGAGUUCGUAGGCGGUUUGUCGCGUCGUUUGUGAAAACCCGGGGCUCAACUUCGGGCUUGCAGGCGAUACGGGCAGACUUGAGUGUUUCAGGGGAGACUGGAAUUCCUGGUGUAGCGGUGAAAUGCGCAGAUAUCAGGAGGAACACCGGUGGCGAAGGCGGGUCUCUGGGAAACAACUGACGCUGAGGAACGAAAGCGUGGGUAGCAAACAGGAUUAGAUACCCUGGUAGUCCACGCCGUAAACGGUGGGCGCUAGGUGUGGGUUCCUUCCACGGGAUCUGUGCCGUAGCUAACGCAUUAAGCGCCCCGCCUGGGGAGUACGGCCGCAAGGCUA
RNAcentral lists this ribosomal RNA (823 nucleotides) under Rhodococcus sp. G3(2015). RNAcentral describes it as "bacterial SSU rRNA". It matches the Rfam family "Bacterial small subunit ribosomal RNA", at positions 56 to 896 of the family's 1533-position model. The record is from RNAcentral. Lineage: Bacteria; Bacillati; Actinomycetota; Actinomycetes; Mycobacteriales; Nocardiaceae.